AACGUGGGUAACCUGCCUCAUAGAGGGGAAUAGCCUUUCGAAAGGAAGAUUAAUGCCGCAUAAGAUUGUAGUACCGCAUGGUACAGCAAUUAAAGGAGCAAUCCGCUAUGAGAUGGACCCGCGUCGCAUUAGCUAGUUGGUGAGGUAACGGCUCACCAAGGCGACGAUGCGUAGCCGACCUGAGAGGGUGAUCGGCCACAUUGGGACUGAGACACGGCCCAGACUCCUACGGGAGGCAGCAUG
RNAcentral lists this ribosomal RNA (243 nucleotides) under uncultured bacterium. RNAcentral describes it as "partial 16S ribosomal RNA". It matches the Rfam family "Bacterial small subunit ribosomal RNA", at positions 114 to 353 of the family's 1533-position model. The record is from RNAcentral.